AAAGGUUUUCUGCUAUUACCUUCAUGGAUAAUUUUUUUUUUCUAAUUAGGAUGGAUAGUGAUGCAGUCAAGGAAUUCAAGAAAAUUAGUAGUAAAAUACUCAAGAAAUUUUUAGUUCAUUGAGGAAAUUUUGAGUCCAUCAUUUCACAAACCAUUCUCCAUCUAAAAUUCUUGAUUGUUUUAGCCUUCAUAAAAUCUCAAAUAUCAAUAAUAAUUCUAAGGCUUGCAGGCUGUCCUGCAUCAGAAGGAAAACGAUAAUCUUUCCAAGGUCAGGAACUAUAUGACACUUGUUUCUUAGCGUUCCAAA
Molecule: unclassified non-coding RNA, 306 nt
Filed under: Hevea brasiliensis (rubber tree)
Lineage: Eukaryota; Viridiplantae; Streptophyta; Magnoliopsida; Malpighiales; Euphorbiaceae
Source: RNAcentral